AACGAACGCUGGCGGCAUGCCUAACACAUGCAAGUCGAACGAGACCUUCGGGUCUAGUGGCGCACGGGUGCGUAACGCGUGGGAACCUGCCCUUAGGUUCGGAAUAACUCCCCGAAAGGGGUGCUAAUACCGGAUAAUGUCUUCGGACCAAAGAUUUAUCGCCUUUGGAUGGGCCCGCGUUGGAUUCGCUAGUUGGUAGGGUAAAAGCCUACCAAGGCGACGAUCCAUAGCUGGUCUGAGAGGAUGAUCAGCCACACUGGGACUGAGACACGGCCCAGAAUCCUACGGGAGGCAGCAGUGGGGAAUAUUGGACAAUGGGCGAAAGCCUGAUCCAGCAAUGCCGCGUGAGUGAUGAAGGCCUUAGGGUUGUAAAGCUCUUUUACCCGGGAUGAUAAUGACAGUACCGGGAGAAUAAGCUCCGGCUAACUCCGUG
This 433-nucleotide ribosomal RNA is filed under the name uncultured bacterium. RNAcentral's name for it is "partial 16S ribosomal RNA". It matches the Rfam family "Bacterial small subunit ribosomal RNA", at positions 29 to 507 of the family's 1533-position model. The record is from RNAcentral.